Molecule: long non-coding RNA, 4939 nt
Organism: Dinoponera quadriceps
Lineage: Eukaryota; Metazoa; Arthropoda; Insecta; Hymenoptera; Formicidae
Exons: 2
Source: RefSeq, a predicted model, not a curated record
AUAUAUAUAUAUAUAUGUGAGUGUAUAUAUGUAUGUAUGUAUAUAUACAUAUACGUAGGCCGAAGUGACGCGAUGUCGUACGUGCGAACAGUUCCAUCUGUUUGGAGAUCGCCGUUCUCUCUUUCUUUUCCUCAUCUUUUUCUACAGCCCAUCGAACGUCUAACGAUGACUCAUAAUUUCGAAACACCAAUGAUGCAAUGCAUCGCGACUCUGUCAUUCUCUCUCUGUGUCAUCGUUAUCUGCGAUACCUAUCCACGUUCGUUGCAUCGACGCCACCUCGUCAAAAAACCGUUCAUCACAAUCUGGUUCGUGUAUUUUUUUUCUUCUCUCCGUUCACACAUUGUCACUCACUCAUUUAUCGCUGGUAAUUGAAAUCACGGCCAAGCGAUUACCAUAUUUUCAGACUCAUUCUCUUUUCUUUUUUUCCUUCCUUCCCACUCGAUCAGUGGAAAUUUGCAAUCACAGCAUUUUCAACGCGCGUCACUCUCGACGUGGAUCACAAUCACAUUUACAAAAAGUGUUACCGCGACAGAGGACAAAGUUGACGAUAUACAAAGGUGCUCUGCGUCGUCUACAUCGGCAGAAAGUACAAUUAGCGAGCUACAGCUAUAUAUACGUACACAUAUACAUAUAUAUUUAUAAUAUUUAUAUACAUACAUACACACACACACACACACACAUGUAUGUGUGUGUAUAUAUAUAUAAUUUCUAUACUUAUUUACUUAUAUCGCAUCUCUGUACCGAGAGAAUUGUGGCGGCUCUGACAGGAGAUGAAAACAGCGCUGAGAACAACGGAUCGAUGGGAGUUUUCGUGGAAUGUUUUUUGUUCUACAUCUUUUUUCUUUCUUACGACUUUACUUUCCCUCGACCUUUUCAAACAUAUGCCGUCAGAAAAAAAGAGAAAAGGGUAGGUUGGCAGGUAAUGGUAGUUUCUUCAAGAUGAAGUAUCUUCGUGAUGUAGACGAAACGGAACUUCCGUCGAUAUGUUAUGUCGACGAAACCUUCGGGUACCGAAACUCGGUACCAGCGAUUUUCUACUAUCUACUUUCUUUCACUCUCUCAUUCUCCAGCCGAUUGUUAUAGAAGCCUACUUGUAAGAUUGACAUUUGGCCGAUCUACGAGAAGAAGAAGCAUACAGACUGACUUAAACGCUUCCCCGGCAAACUUUGCGUAUGCAAAUGUGUCAAAUUUUUUAAUACCAUUUCACAUCUUUUAAAACACCUUUCAAAUUUCGUAUAUUGUUACAUUUAAUUUUUCGAGUGGCAACAAAAGUUAUUUGUAUCUUCCUCGAUUGUUCUACUCUUCUUAAGGCUCUGGAACAGUCGCUGUGACUGUCCUUGUUUGAUGACAUCAGAAGCGAGAAAACGCAUGCCAAAAUUGUUUGCGUUAUGCUUUCAAGUAAAAAGAUAUAUCUACUAAAUGACAUUUGUGAUCGGUUCAGCGUACUUGUAAAAUUGGACGAACACUUUUCUUUUACUCGAACAAUUAAUAAAUAGUUGCAAAAUUAAUUUGACACAGAAUCUUCUUUUUCAACCUCUUCUUUCAUGAUUUCGUCAAUGUCUUGCGAUUACUUAUUGAUUGUUCGAGUGAAAGAAAAGAGUUCGUUCAAUUUUACAAAUCUGCCGAAUCGAUCAGAAGUGUCAUUUUACGGAUACAUCUUUUUAUCUGAAAGUAUAACGCAAAAAAUUUUGGCAUACGUUUUUUUCUCGCUUCUGACGACAUUAAAUGUGGACAGUCACAGCGGCUACUCCGCAGCGUUAAAUUGCUUUGAAAAAAUCUCCAAAUUUUAUUAGAACUUCCUGUACCUUUCCUUGAAGAUCACGUAGUUAUUUUAUCAAGAAUCAAUUGCAAAAUAUUUUAUUUUUAAUUAUUUUAUUUUGAGCAUUUUUUUACAAUGGCUCGGACACAAAUGAUAUCCUGGUCGCCACUCGGAGGGUUAAUUAAGAAAUAUCGCACUUUUAAUCAAGAAAUUAUCCCGAGAAACAUCAAUUAAAAAUAUUACUUAAAUUAUAACAUUGCUCAGAUCUAACAAAGUAUUUUACGAAGAGAAGGUAUACAUAAGCGCUGUACGCUCUUCGCGUCCGUAGAACCACAACACACUCUUCGACGGCCGCAUCGUAUUCAGAUCGACACGGGAGAUCGCACGGGAGAAGCAGCUGACGUUCGUUCGUUUGGUUAUCAUCCGCGAUCACGCGAUCGUCUUAAACGUAGUAUCAUAGUAACUCUAAAUGUAUAAAAAUGCCCAUCGUUACUUGCGAUUCUCGCAACAAAAUUGCACAGUCAAUCUUUACACAGCGCAAACACAGCUACAAUGGUAAUUAAUUGUUCUCCUAUAAUAUCAUUCGAUGCGGAUUAACUUUCUAUCGGAUAGAAAAUAACGUAAUACGCGCAGUGGGGUACAAUUUAUCCCUAUCGAUUAGAAUCUCUACGCGAUAACAAUUAAAUUUCUAGCCAAUUCCGCUCGAACGUCCCAAACCUCGGCUCGCUCAGAAAUGCCUCUCUGAACGUGAUCGGCGUGAUCACGUCUAUGAUUCUACGAUUGAACUUCGCCAAAAAAACGAAAUCUCGCGAAGGAAGUACGACGACACGCCGUGCGCUCCAAGUACUUGCCGGCAGUGGGCGGCCACCCUGUAUACUCGGUCGCUUCUCGAUCAAACAAAUCGCAUUGCUCCGACGACAGACAGCUGUUUUCACCGUGAUUUGAACGCGGAGUAACGAACGACACAUCUCCGCGUGAACGCGAGUCGAUCGACCCGUGAUUUCGCUGCUCCAGCGGUUUCCUGUCUCUCGGAGUGAAGAAACGAGUCAGUACGAUCUACGCUCAAGCACGGAUCACAUCUGUCUAUAUAUACGUAUAUAAUAUCAAGUAUAUAUAUGUAUAUAUAUUGUUGAUUGGGAAUGCUAAAGGCACCUAAUGUCUCGCUGAAUGCUGUCCGCGCAUUGACGAUUAGACGAUACUUCAAGUGCGCCCGGUUCGCGAGGAUAAUUCUCGCUGAUCGACGGCGGCUCGGACUCGAUGAUCCAUGAUUGGGAGAAUUACUUUAAAAAAAUAACUCGUUACGUUACUGACUUUGAAAAGAAAAAAGAUAACUCGUUACCGUCAUCGUUAUUCAAGAAGUAUUACUUUGGAAAAAUAACUCGUUACAGCCAUUGUUGUUCGAACGAGUCCCUGUUAUUUCUUUCACUAUAAAUUUUCACGAUCUUCUCACAACCUUCCUGCACUAAUUUUUCACGAGUUUCUCUUUACGUUUUGGCCAUCCCAUGUGCACAUACUCUACGUAUGCAAAAUAACGAUUGUAUUUGUUUUAAGGAUUGUCUACAAUAGCCGUAUGCAGUAAGCUAAUUGACUAACCACAAUCGACAUUUCUGUAAGAAUCCAAUUGGAUUAGCUUAUUGCUUAUUGCUAAGUCAAUUAGCUUAUUGCUUAUAUCUUAUUGCUAUCGAUAUAAGAAUAUAUUAUAUAUAAGAAUUAUACACACACACAUGCACGCACGCGCACACUGCGAACUAGCUUACGUAAUCAGCUUAGUUUAUUCUGCUAUUAAUAGACCGAUUGAAAAUUGUAUAUUUGUGUAUAAUUAUGUAUUGUAAAUUUAAUGUAAUCAUCUUAAAGCUCACCUUGAACCAUAUUAUGCUAGAUAAAAAAUUUUGAAUCGGUCCAUUAACAGUAAAAUGAACUAAGCUGAUCACGUUGCGUGGUUCACCCUGUAUAUAUAAAAAAGAAAUAUAUAUAUAUAUAUAUUCUUACGUCGAUGCUUACAGCUUAUUUUACGGCUAUCGUAGACAGUCCUUUACUGUUGCUCACAAAAUACGACUACGUCACAGCUACGAGUGGAAAAAAUAGAAAGAGAAUAGCACCGUUACCAAGUCGUUACUGAAAAAUGUAACUCGUCACGGUAACAAUGCUUGAAAUGACACAUUACCAACCUCUGCAACGAAUUCGGUGUGCACAGAACUUUUCUCCCGUCGAACCGAGAGCGAAUUUCGCGCACAGCCCAAACUGACAUCCGAAUGCGGUCGAGGGCGCACCGCUCUGUAAUAACCCUUAGAUAACAAGAUUGGUCGGAUCCGACCGGAUCCAUAUUCUGAUGCUUCCGCGAACACGCUUGCAAAGCGUUAUAUUUCAGAUACUUCAUACAUUUUGUUUGAUGUAUUUUAUUUACUUUUAAACUUCCGGCAUAUUAUGAGAGUAAGAAUGUCUGGUCGAAGAAAUUAGUUGAAAAUCUGCAGAACGCUUCUCUACGGGUCGGAUUCGAUCCACGUGAACCUUGUUAUCCGAGGCCUGACCGAGGCAAAAACCGGAUCCUCAAUACAUUACGAGACCGUCGUCAUCGUUUACGCGUAUUACAGUCAGUCGAUUAAAGCGACUUGCGUUUAAAGCUACGCUCCUUACAAGGUAACAUCAAGAGACGAUCGGAGCUCCCGAGAUUCGAUCCGUCCAGCCGGAUAUUUUUGAUUGAGCGACUUCCACAGCUAUCUUCACGACUACUCGGUGUGCAAUAUUUAUUUAUACAGUGUACAAGGACUACAAUUUCGAUUUCGUCGCGUUCAUCGGACCGUUCUGUCUCUCUCGCCGUUAACACUCGAGCGGACGACCGCUCUUUCCGUCCAAAGGAGAACUCGCAUUUCUACGCCUACGUCGCCGAGAGCUCACUCUCUCCGUUGGUGCUUAAGAUACCCGGUUACACGGUGGUUUGGUACCUUACGAACGGGCGAUGGAAUAGGAACGAAUCUGCCGGAGGAACUCGAUCUGUCUUCGACGCUACGCGACGCGCCUUUUUCUUUGCAGCUUCGCUCGAUUACGCGACGUUCCGCCGUCUCUGGACGACGCAACCGUCCGUUCACCGAAUAUUCCAAAGGUGGGAUCCUAUCGUAUGUAUACAGAGCGUUUCAUAACGUGCGGAUGUUAAUUUAAGAAAUAAAUUCAUGACACGAAAAU